Molecule: transfer-messenger RNA, 334 nt
Filed under: uncultured Clostridium sp.
Lineage: Bacteria; Bacillati; Bacillota; Clostridia; Eubacteriales; Clostridiaceae
Rfam family: transfer-messenger RNA
About the family: Bacterial tmRNA, also known as 10Sa RNA or SsrA, is named for its dual tRNA and mRNA-like properties.
Source: RNAcentral
GGGGGCGUUAUGGCUUCGACGGGGGUAAGAUGAUAAGCGAGCCGAGGGAAGCAUGGUGCCUCGAUAAUAAAGUAUGCAUUAAAUAUAAACGCAGAAGACAAUUUUGCAUUAGCAGCUUAAUUUAAGCUACUCAUCCGUCCAGAUUGCCUACGAUUUGGGUAGCGGGUGUCAUAACAGUGGGAAACGAAGCCUAGCAAAGCUUUGAGCUAGAGGGGUAUUUAUGAAGCUAGCAAAUCAACUGCCUGCCUGUAGGCACCUUGAGGAGCGAAUUUUAAUAUAUAGGCUACGCUCGUAGAAAGUCAGACUGGUCUGCUUUCGGACAGGGGUUCGAUUC